UUUUUCUUUUUUCUUUCUUAUCACUUUCAUUUUCAUAAACUACAUAUCACACAGAGAGGGCAUGCAAAGGGUAAUCAAGAAAAGAUGAGUGUUGAUUUUUUU
RNAcentral lists this non-coding RNA (102 nucleotides) under Pycnococcus provasolii. Lineage: Eukaryota; Viridiplantae; Chlorophyta; Pseudoscourfieldiophyceae; Pseudoscourfieldiales; Pycnococcaceae. The record is from RNAcentral.